RNAcentral lists this unclassified non-coding RNA (395 nucleotides) under fungal sp. RNAcentral describes it as "partial internal transcribed spacer region". Lineage: Eukaryota; Fungi. The record is from RNAcentral.
AAGUCGUAACACGGUUUCCGUAGGAACCUGCGGAAGGAUCACACGUAUCCAAACGUUUCAACAACCCUGUGAACCUUCAGCGUGUUCUUGCAGGACAUCAAAACAGCAAUCCCGAGUAAAUCAGGAGCUAAAGAAUUACAGAUUUUGAUUUUGGGAAGUUCUGUGUGUACGUGGACGCUGCAAUUGAUUGAGCGCUAGAUAGGAGCACUCCCCUGUCUGAAAGCGGCAGGGAUCAAUGUUCACGGUGGCGCAGUCAACGAUCGCUGUAGGUCCACACGACAGGCGACCGGGGUGGAGGCGAAAGCCCCUACGUCAUCCCUAUGUACUCCGGGACUUGGCGAAAGCUGACUCCGUCAUAAAUCGAACAACUGUUAACAAUGGAUAUCUUGGUUCUC